UUAGCUUCUCUUCAAAAGAUCCUUUAACAGUUACUGAGUAGUUAUAACUCGGCUUCGAUCCAAACUCUAGAGAUGGAACAUUUGAAGCAAAGCUUCGAGGAGUUUACAGAGUAAAAAGGUUCAAUGCUUGUGUUGUCUUGCGGUAAACCACGUGACCGAUGACAAACGAUGCCUCUUCUUCUUCUUCUUAUAAUGGCGGUUGGCAAACAACUGAAGGAGGCAUUACCGCCACCAACUGGAAAAUCCACAACAAUUUUGGCGUCACGAACAGGAUCUAACAUGCCAGAGGAAUCCGCAGGAGGGGAUAAGGACGCCUGGCCAGCCUGGAGACUAAGUUGUCCUCAGUCCACCUCUAUUUAACGGAGGGGAGUCCUGGUGCCUGCCUGCGGCUUCUGGCCGAUCGGAUCCGGACCAUAGAUCUGCAAAUAUAUCUGGUUACAGACUGACCAUCAGACGGCUCUUCAAAGGGAGAAUGCUGCAAAGAUAUGAGCUCUCAAAAGCUGAGGAGAGGAUGGAGAAAACUGAAGCAAAGUUAGUGGACCUGAAGGCAGAUGAGCUCAAGAAAGCGUCAUCCCAAAGGUGGGAACAGGCCCCCACCUUUCAGGAAAGAAGCUGAUCCAGAGGCCCAGACCAAUGAUCCACCCAGUGCCACCAUGAAGAAGGCAAAGAAAUCACUGGGCAGUUUCUUCAAGACAGCACCACUUCCUGCCUCAUCUUUUGUGCAACUUUCACAAGCUGUAGAAGCUGAGCUUAACAGUUACUUGCUGUCCCCUGCCAUAGACAGUGAGGGAGACCCCUUGGCAUGGCGGAAACUCCACCACAUUUCACCAGAUAUUUUAUUUUAAAUAUUACAGACUAGUAGAACAAUUUCAGACAGAUUUUGUGUCAGUAGGUCACAUGACCUGGAAGCUUUUGAAGAAAACUGCUAAUUUUUGACCAAAUAAAUUCCUAAAAAUGCUGAAAAUGGAAUAAAAAUGAGUGUGCCUCAUUGAUGUAAUGUAGUAUCAUGAUUUACUAUUGUUUUUGUUUCAAUUGGUCACAAAACAAGGAAUUUAUUUAUUUUUAUUUUCCACGAUUGUUUGGUUCGGAAACUUAUUGACGGUUCCUAAGUGAACCACCGCGGGUCAGAAGAGGGAGCAACAGAGAGCAGCUAGCCGAAAUCUGAGUGCCUGAAUCGGAUCAACCGUCAGCUAGAUGCCGCUAACUCCGCGGAGCUUGAAUAUCCAAUGUCCAACUUUAAACUAACUUCACCGCGGUAUAUCAUGCAGCCCUAUUAAUUAGUUUCUAAACAAACUUGUAUCGGUGUCGAAGGACAACAAACCACUCAAAAUGGCGGACGUGGGUCGUUCCCACCGAGUGACGAAGCGUUUACCGUUUUAAGUCUAUGGUGAACAUUUGGUCUUUAAGAAGCUAAUCCAUUAGUCACCUAAAAUGUUCCUAAACUGUAACUGACAUGAAAACAUACAAACCUAAUCUGUGCAGCAGAACUUUAGGGUUGAAAUCAGCCUCCAGGAUGUUGAGACGCUGCUGAUCUUCUUUGUCC
Long non-coding RNA from Girardinichthys multiradiatus, 1543 nucleotides. RefSeq lists it as uncharacterized. NCBI's taxonomy places the organism in Eukaryota, Metazoa, Chordata, Actinopteri, Cyprinodontiformes, Goodeidae. The transcript is spliced from 4 exons. The record is from RefSeq and is a predicted model, not a curated record.